GACGAACGCUGGCGGCGUGCCUAAUACAUGCAAGUAGAACGCUGAAGGAGGAGCUUGCUUCUCUGGAUGAGUUGCGAACGGGUGAGUAACGCGUAGGUAACCUGCCUGGUAGCGGGGGAUAACUAUUGGAAACGAUAGCCAAUACCGCAUAAGAAUAGAUGUCGCAUGACAUUUGCUUAAAAGGUGCAAUUGCAUCACUACCAGAUGGACCUGCGUUGUAUUAGCUAGUUGGUGAGGUAACGGCUCACCAAGGCAACGAUACAUAGCCGACCUGAGAGGGUGAUCGGCCACACUGGGACUGAGACACGGCCCAGACUCCUACGGGAGGCAGCAGUAGGGAAUCUUCGGCAAUGGACGGAAGUCUGACCGAGCAACGCCGCGUGAGUGAAGAAGGUUUUCGGAUCGUAAAGCUCUGUUGUAAGAGAAGAACGAGUGUGAGAGUGGAAAGUUCACACUGUGACGGUAUCUUACCAGAAAGGGACGGCUAACUACGUG
Molecule: ribosomal RNA, 495 nt
Filed under: uncultured bacterium
Lineage: Bacteria
Description: partial 16S ribosomal RNA
Rfam family: Bacterial small subunit ribosomal RNA
Source: RNAcentral